CAGAGGGUAGUUAAAUCAGAACAUCGGCUUUGGGAGCCGGCGGUGGGAGUUUGAGCCUCUCCUCUCUGA
This 69-nucleotide transfer RNA is filed under the name Trachinocephalus myops (snakefish). RNAcentral's name for it is "tRNA-Pro". It matches the Rfam family "tRNA". Rfam says of the family: Transfer RNA (tRNA) molecules are approximately 80 nucleotides in length. Their secondary structure includes four short double-helical elements and three loops (D, anti-codon, and T loops). The record is from RNAcentral. Lineage: Eukaryota; Metazoa; Chordata; Actinopteri; Aulopiformes; Synodontidae.